AUGCCUAUGAACUAUUCACUCGUUAUUGAACCAUUUGAUGUUUGGGGCUUUGACUAUAUGGGACCUUUUCCAUACUCUAAUGGAUAUACACAUAUUUUAGUUGUUGUUGAUUACGUUACUAAGUGGGUAGAAGUUAUUCCAACUAGUAGUGUUGAUCAUAACACUUAUAUUAAAAUGCUUAAAGAAGUUAUUUUUCCAAGGUUUGGAGUCCCUAGAUAUUUAAUGACUGAUGGUGGUUCACAUUUUAUUCAUGGUGCUUUCCAUAAAAUGCUUGCUAAAUAUGAUGUUAAUCAUAGAAUUGCAUCUCCUUAUCACCUACAGUCUAGUGGUCAAGUAGAAUUGAGUAAUAGAGAGCUCAAAUUAAUUUUGCAAAAGACUGUUAAUAGAUCUAGAAAAAAUUGGUCCAAGAAACUUGAUGAUGAAUUAUGGGCCUAUAGAACUGCAUAUAAAAAUCCUAUGGGUAUGUCUACGUAUAAAACGGUUUAUGGAAAAGCAUGUCACUUACCUCUCAAACUAGAACACAAGGCAUAUUGGGCUAUUAAAGAGCUCAGUUAUGAUUUCAAACUUGCCGGUGAGAAGAGGUUAUUUGAUAUUAGCUCACUUGAUGAAUGGAGAACCCAAGCCUAUGAAAAUGCCAAGUUGUUUAAAGAAAAGGUUAAAAGAUGGCAUGAUAAAAGGAUACAAAAGCAUGAGUUUAAUGUAGGUGAUUAUGUAUUGCUAUAA
RNAcentral lists this ribosomal RNA (723 nucleotides) under Triticum aestivum (bread wheat). RNAcentral describes it as "partial small subunit ribosomal RNA". Lineage: Eukaryota; Viridiplantae; Streptophyta; Magnoliopsida; Poales; Poaceae. The record is from RNAcentral.